UCCAGCAAGGAUGUUACAUAACUGGGAUAAAUGAGGUCAUGUUAGGGCCAAAAUCUCUGUAUGCAUUUAUACCUCAAUCUACUUAACUGAUGGAAUAUCUGUGUUCCUUAAGUGUAUUUGCAUAAAGAGACUAUCUCACCAUCAUCUGUCUAAUGGUGUGAUACUGAUACAUACUGUGAUGAGGUGAUUUACUUUGUAUGUAGCAGUGAAGAGGUUAUAACACAGGAAAAA
RNAcentral lists this long non-coding RNA (231 nucleotides) under Bos taurus (domestic cattle). RNAcentral's name for it is "long non-coding RNA NONBTAT010731". Lineage: Eukaryota; Metazoa; Chordata; Mammalia; Artiodactyla; Bovidae. The record is from RNAcentral.